RNAcentral lists this transfer RNA (56 nucleotides) under Ovis aries (sheep). It matches the Rfam family "tRNA", at positions 8 to 63 of the family's 71-position model. From Rfam's summary of the family: Transfer RNA (tRNA) molecules are approximately 80 nucleotides in length. The record is from Rfam by way of RNAcentral. Lineage: Eukaryota; Metazoa; Chordata; Mammalia; Artiodactyla; Bovidae.
UGGCUCAGACAGUAAAGCGUCUGUCUGCAAUGCAGGAGACCAGGGUUCGAUCCCUG